Poeciliopsis prolifica (blackstripe livebearer) is the source of this 710-nucleotide long non-coding RNA. RefSeq lists it as uncharacterized. NCBI's taxonomy places the organism in Eukaryota, Metazoa, Chordata, Actinopteri, Cyprinodontiformes, Poeciliidae. The record is from RefSeq and is a predicted model, not a curated record. The transcript has 5 exons.
UGUUCCAAAACAUGACUGAGUAUUUGGUUGUGUUUUUUAUGUUUUUGUUUUACUUUAUUUUAUUUUUUGUCUUAUUUUUUAUUUCUUUGCUCUUGGGCUAUUUCCAGAAGAUAGUAGUACAAAAACAGGACAACUAGAAGUGAAUACAAAUGUUUGCAAAAGAGAAAAAGAGUGGAGUAAGAUCAUCUAUGCAGAAAACAGGGAGAAGCAGAUGCUGUGACUAGAGUUCUCCUGUGAAACAACUGGAUUCUUGGUUUUAAAGUCAGGAACAACUCAAACCUGAGGUUUGUUGUUUGGGAGUUAAAGGUCUGUCAGCAACAAAAAAAAAAGAUUACUUUAAUUCAAUACACACCUUUCUUCCAACAAUCCUCCAUCUUGUUUUCUAAGCAGAAUAAUUAGCUGCAUCAUCAAAAUCCAAAUGAAGGAGGGAGUGUUUGAUAACAUGAAAGUAAAAGGUGACUGUCGGAAGUAACAUAAAUUUCAAGGUGAAUGAAAGUUCUAAGGUGAGCCUCCGCGUACGUCUCCUGGAAAUGAUGCAACUCAAAGCAAAGUCUUCUGAAGCCAGAUCACUGGUUACCAGGGAACCACUGUCCAUCUCCAAUGGUCAUUGAGCAAGAACCAUGGUAUAUCCUGGACAACAUGGACAGGUCACCGGUUCAUCACAGGACAACACACCACAUCAAAAUCACCUUAAAGCCCCACAGAAUGAC